AAAAGGUCAAUGCGGAUCCGGGCAUCAAUAACCAAAUGCUGGCAUCUUUGGCAGAAAAGCACAAGUCAAAUCCAGAGGAAUACAGUACACACUAUGCUGUUUGAUGUUGGAUGUAAUGUCCAUCAAGCAAAAAAUGGAGUAUGAUCAGCAUAAGGACAAAGUAGUGGGGUUUGUGGAUCUAGGCAUUGGUGACGACUCCAACGAUGAGGACAAGGAAGUUCUGGUAGUUCUCACUGUGGGUCCGCGUGGCCAUUGGAAGUGGCCAAUAUCGUUCUACUGUACGCGGGGUCUGAAUGGACAAGUACAGAAAGAACUCCUGGUACAAUGUCUUGAUGCAAUACAAGACACUGGACUUCGAGUGAUAACAGUCACCAUGGACGGCCAUGCCAUGAAUAUUGCAAUAGCUAUGCUUCUUGGAGCUAACCUUAACAGCGACAUAGGUCAUGACUUCUGCACCUCAUUUCUUCAUGAUGACAAGAUAUAUGUCAUGCUUGAUGCUUGUCACAUGGUUAAGCUGCUAAGAAAUACAUUACAAGCUUAUGGCAGCAUCGUCUCCCCAGUUGCUCGUAUAGUUUGGCAGCUCAUCACGGACCUCAAUGCUACUCAGGAAGAAGUGGGUGUCACCUUGGCAACAAGUUAACCUCUGACACAUCAACUUCCACACAAAGAGGAUGAAGGUUUCCCUGGCAUUUCAGACACUGUCAUUAUCUGUAGCCUCUGCACUGGAAACACUGCUAAAGAUGGGUGUACCUAAGUUCUGCUAUGUUGAUGCCACUGUGGAGUUUCUAAAGAAAGUAGAUGCUAUUUUUGAUGUUCUGAACAGUCGUUCACAGUUUGGACGUGGCUGGAAGAGAACUGGGAAGAGACCAGAGCAUUCCUAGUGGAUGUUCGCAGCUACCUGCCCUCCCUCACCCUGGUCAAUGGUACACCACUGCAUAAGACUC
This is a long non-coding RNA of Thalassophryne amazonica, 944 nucleotides long. RefSeq lists it as uncharacterized. The record is from RefSeq and is a predicted model, not a curated record. Lineage: Eukaryota; Metazoa; Chordata; Actinopteri; Batrachoidiformes; Batrachoididae. The transcript has 3 exons.